CGUUUGAGAUUUGAGAGGGGCUGCUCCUAGUACGAGAGGACCGGAGUGGACGAACCUCUGGUGUUCCGGUUGUCACGCCAGUGGCAUUGCCGGGUAGCUAUGUUCGGAAUAGAUAACCGCUGAAAGCAUCUAAGCGGGAAACUAGCCUCAAGAUGAGAUCUCACUGGGACCUUGAGUCCCCUGAAGGGCCGUCGAAGACUACGACGUUGAUAGGUUGGGUGUGUAAGCGCUGUGAGGCGUUGAGCUAACCAAUACUAAUUGCCCGUGAGGCUUGACCAUAUAACACCCAAGCAAUU
Molecule: ribosomal RNA, 296 nt
Filed under: Escherichia coli
Lineage: Bacteria; Pseudomonadati; Pseudomonadota; Gammaproteobacteria; Enterobacterales; Enterobacteriaceae
Description: partial 23S ribosomal RNA
Rfam family: Bacterial large subunit ribosomal RNA
Source: RNAcentral